AUGCAAGUCGAACGGCAGCACAGUGGAGCUUGCUCCAUGGGUGGCGAGUGGCGGACGGGUGAGGAAUACAUGGGAAUCUGCCCAGUCGUGGGGGAUAACGUAUGGAAACGUACGCUAAUACCGCAUGCGCCCUUCGGGGGAAAGUCGGGGACCGCAAGGCCUGACGCGAUUGGAUGAGCCCAUGUUCGAUUAGCUAGUUGGCGGGGUAACGGCCCACCAAGGCGACGAUCGAUAGCUGGUCUGAGAGGAUGAUCAGCCACACUGGAACUGAGACACGGUCCAGACUCCUACGGGAGGCAGCAGUAGGGAAUAUUGGACAAUGGGCGCAAGCCUGAUCCAGCCAUGCCGCGUGAGUGAAGAAGGCCCUCGGGUUGUAAAGCUCUUUUGUUGGGGAAGAAAAGCAGUUGGUUAAUACCCGAUUGUUCUGACGGUACCCAUAGAAUAAGCACCGGCUAACUUCGUGCCAGCAGCCGCGGUAAUACGAAGGGUGCAAGCGUUACUCGGAAUUACUGGGCGUAAAGCGUGCGUAGGUGGUUGUUUAAGUCUGAUGUGAAAGCCCUGGGCUCAACCUGGGAAUGGCAUUGGAUACUGGAUAGCUAGAGUGCGGUAGAGGGUAGUGGAAUUCCCGGUGUAGCAGUGAAAUGCGUAGAGAUCGGGAGGAACAUCCGUGGCGAAGGCGACUAUCUGGGCCASCACUGACACUGAGGCACGAAAGCGUGGGGAGCAAACAGGAUUAGAUACCCUGGUAGUCCACGCCCUASACGAUGUGAACUGGGAUGUUGGGCUCAACUUGGAGCUCAGUAUCGAAGCUAACGCGUUAAGUUUCGCCCGCCUGGGGGAGUACGGU
Molecule: ribosomal RNA, 847 nt
Filed under: uncultured Thermomonas sp.
Lineage: Bacteria; Pseudomonadati; Pseudomonadota; Gammaproteobacteria; Lysobacterales; Lysobacteraceae
Description: bacterial SSU rRNA
Rfam family: Bacterial small subunit ribosomal RNA
Source: RNAcentral